UACGAGGGGGGCGAGCGUUGUUCGGAAUUAUUGGGCGUAAAGGGCGCGUAGGCGGCCAACUAAGUCGGACGUGAAAUCCCCAGGCUCAACCUGGGAACUGCAUCCGAUACUGGAUGGCUUGAAUUCGGGAGAGGGAUGCAGAAUUCCAGGUGUAGCGGUGAAAUGCGUAGAUAUCUGGAGGAAUACCGGUGGCGAAGGCGGCAUCCUGGACCGACAUUGACGCUGAGGAGCGAAAGCCAGGGGAGCAAACGGG
Molecule: ribosomal RNA, 253 nt
Filed under: uncultured bacterium
Lineage: Bacteria
Description: partial 16S ribosomal RNA
Rfam family: Bacterial small subunit ribosomal RNA
Source: RNAcentral